Long non-coding RNA from Musa acuminata AAA Group (dessert banana), 1093 nucleotides. RefSeq lists it as uncharacterized. Lineage: Eukaryota; Viridiplantae; Streptophyta; Magnoliopsida; Zingiberales; Musaceae. The transcript is spliced from 3 exons. The record is from RefSeq and is a predicted model, not a curated record.
GAUGAGAGUACGGGAUCGCCUGACCGAAACCCUCGCGAUUGAGAUCGAGCGAAGCGGAGGCGCAGGCGGGAGAGAUGCCGAAUAGGGAGCUAUUUGCCCGACCCAACGUCUCGUCGUCGGCGUCCGCCGAAGGGAACCGCAUGGCCUUCCUCAACUGGUCCGGUGGAGCUCGCUUCGAUCAGCACCUCGACGCCGAGCAUGCAGGUGCAAGAUCAGAAAGGAUUUCUUCCUCUGAGAAGUUGCCAUGAUGCAUGUAUCUGUGAUCACUUCUGUUCUUGUGCAGAUCAAUAUUGGAGGAUUCACUAAAAUGAGACAGUCAACUGGAAUUAUCGAGGUGACGCUUUAGGAAACCCCAAGAAAACUCAAAAUCACUUCAUCAUCACAGUAAGAUGUGCCAGGAAGGCUGCUGGGAAUGAAUUCUCAUUGUGAACUACAUUCUUCAUCAGAGGAACUGGAUCUUAACAGAUAUGUAACUCGCUUAGAACUAAGUCUACUCCUUUUACCAAGGGAAGUCAAUCAUGUACAGAACCAGCUUGACGGGACUUCAUGUUGAGCCGACAAUUCCACAUUGGCAAAAUCCAUCGGUCCUUGCAUUAUUGCAUGCAAUGCUCGUCGGCAGGACUUCAUUAUAAGUUGAAUCUGUAGGUUAGCAAAUUAAUGGACAUGACAUUUUUUGAAGUCUGAAAAAUAUCUUAGACUGUGCCCCAUUGUGGUGGGUGAGAUGGGCCUGCCUCAAUCAAUCAUUUGUGACCAAGCAAUCUGCAUGCCUCCUGCUGCAUCUGCUUGUGAAUCAUCUGCUGGAGCUUGAUGGCACUUGAGAAGAAGAUACCACCAACACCAGGAGGGGCCACAUUUGAUGGCACUUGAGAAGAAGAUACCACCAACACCAGGAGCGGCUUGUGGCCCCUCAGCGGCUGUUUAAUAUGGGAUCUUUAAGGUGUUCUUGUUGAGUAGGUGUAUGUCUAAAGGAUAAAGCAGAGGGAUAUGAUGAUAAUUAUUAUGUUAGCUGAUGUUUAUUAUGCUUGAUCCUGUGGGGACCUGGUAAACUCUUUUAUCACCUUCUGUAUAUAUUAUUACUAGGUUCAUUGGAGUU